Small nuclear RNA from Myotis lucifugus (little brown bat), 106 nucleotides. The record is from Ensembl. NCBI's taxonomy places the organism in Eukaryota, Metazoa, Chordata, Mammalia, Chiroptera, Vespertilionidae.
CUGCUCGCUUCGGCAGCACAUAUACCAAAAUUGGAGACACAGGGAAGAUUAGCAUGGCCCCUGUGACAAGGAUGACACGCAAAUUCGUGAAGCAUUCAAAUAAAGA